GUGAGGAAUUUUCCGCAAUGGGCGAAAGCCUGACGGAGCAAUGCCGCGUGAAGGAUGAAGGCCUAUGGGUUGUAAACUUCUUUUCUUAGAGAAGAAUAUUGACGGUAUCUGAGGAAUAAGCAUCGGCUAACUCUGUGCCAGCAGCCGCGGUAAGACAGAGGAUGCAAGCGUUAUCUGGAAUGAUUGGGCGUAAAGCGUCUGUAGGUGGCUUCAAAAGUCUCCUGUCAAAGAUCAGGGCUUAACCCUGGGCCGGCAGGAGAAAGUCUGAGGCUAGAGUUUGGUAGGGCCAGAGGGAAUUCCCGGUGGAGCGGUGAAAUGCGUAGAGAUCGGGAGGAACACCAAAGGCGAAAGCACUCUGCUGGGCCACAACUGACACUGAGAGACGAAAGCGAGGGGAGCAAAAGGGAUUAGAAACCCGGGUAGUCC
This 426-nucleotide ribosomal RNA is filed under the name uncultured bacterium. RNAcentral's name for it is "partial 16S ribosomal RNA". It matches the Rfam family "Bacterial small subunit ribosomal RNA", at positions 354 to 796 of the family's 1533-position model. The record is from RNAcentral.